UGGGGAAUUUUGGACAAUGGGCGAAAGCCUGAUCCAGCAAUGCCGCGUGUGUGAAGAAGGCCUUCGGGUUGUAAAGCACUUUUGUCCGGAAAGAAAUCCUUGGCUCUAAUACAGUCAGGGGAUGACGGUACCGGAAGAAUAAGCACCGGCUAACUACGUGCCAGCAGCCGCGGUAAUACGUAGGGUGCAAGCGUUAAUCGGAAUUACUGGGCGUAAAGCGUGCGCAGGCGGUUUGCUAAGACCGAUGUGAAAUCCCCGGGCUCAACCUGGGAACUGCAUUGGUGACUGGCAGGCUAGAGUAUGGCAGAGGGGGGUAGAAUUCCACGUGUAGCAGUGAAAUGCGUAGAGAUGUGGAGGAAUACCGAUGGCGAAGGCAGCCCCUGGGCCAAUACUGACGCUCAUGCACGAAAGCGUGGGGA
RNAcentral lists this ribosomal RNA (419 nucleotides) under uncultured bacterium. RNAcentral's name for it is "partial 16S ribosomal RNA". It matches the Rfam family "Bacterial small subunit ribosomal RNA", at positions 355 to 767 of the family's 1533-position model. The record is from RNAcentral.